CACUACGUGCUACUACGUGCUACAAGUCUCAAGUCACCACUUUUUUGUGAUCUUUUAUCGUUUCCAAUUUCGCUUCUGGCAACGUGGUCACUUGUUCGCGCACCACGCUGUUGUCUCUGGUGGCGGUCCAGCCCAGUCCACAUUUCCACAAAUAUCUCAACGAUUGUAAUGUUAGAGCUUGUGCCCAACGGAGAUGUGUAUCUGUCCUCUUCGAUAGCUCGCGAAACCUUUUCUUAUUCUUUUACCAAAUAGAAGCAGAUGUACAAGACGGGAUUUUGGUGAAUUGGUGGUCUCCUAUACGCUGAGGUUAAUUGUUCCACCCCCUCUUCCAUCCAAACCCGACAUUUUUGUAGAGCAAGAAACGCCAAUUUUUAAGUUCUCUCUUUGAAGUCUAUCAUAUUGAGGGAAUAUAAUUCGUCCGUUUCACCACUCUCCAUAAUCAAUUGAAUCCAUCAGUCAAAUCAUUUUACGCUCGCUGUUUGUAUUUUCCCAGCAGACUGUUUAUAUCCUCAUAUUGGAGCAAAAAUGAAAUAAGCUCAUGUAAAGGAUGACGUGCAGAUUCCAUGAUGUUCAAUACGCUGGGCCGGUACUCGGGUCUGACACCAGAGGGGGUGAAACAAUUCCUUAUAGAAUUCUGAUUUUAAUUACUACGCAUAAUCUUAGCUUCAUGACAAGGCACGGCAGUCGUUUCAUUUAUUAGUGUAGUCUUUUAAAGUUUGUCGAAAAAAAUUGGCUUUGAGGUAUUUUUAGAGCUACCUACUCUGAAUUGCCUCUAGGUCUUUGAAUAAAUAAUGUAAUUGGUCCAUUUCACAUCCAUUCCGAUCCAUUCAGUAAGAUUGUGACCGCGCAGCUUAUAAGUUUCAGCUUGAACGCUUUGGCUACAAAAUGAGGAGCGAUUUCCGUUUGCCGUUGUCCUCUGAACCAAGUCGUUGGAUUAAUAAGCGAAUUUGAGUUGGUUUCUACUUCAUUUGACUCUGACAUAAUGACUAUGCAUAGUAAUGACUGAAUUGCCGCCCUUAUCUUCCCUUUUGUGUCUACAUUUCUCGAUCAUUUUGCGCGUGAAAUGUUUUGGCUUUGACUUCAGUGUAGAAAUCGCCACGAGUAGCCUAACUGUCACCGUUUCAGAAGGACUUCUCUUGCCUUGUUAGAAUUACCCAAGUUAACAAUUGCAUUGAUCAUUUUGUCUGGCUUUCUUUCCGUUUUGCCACUUUUUGGGAUUUCAGAUUUGUCAUUGGUUAUUUUUGAUUCAAUUUGGAAAACGUUUUGUUAACGUUUUUCUAUUUUCCACCUUACCAAAUGCGGCGACGUUCUAAUAGAAAGAUAUCGCGUA
This is a long non-coding RNA of Daphnia magna, 1330 nucleotides long. RefSeq lists it as uncharacterized. The transcript is spliced from 2 exons. The record is from RefSeq and is a predicted model, not a curated record. NCBI's taxonomy places the organism in Eukaryota, Metazoa, Arthropoda, Branchiopoda, Diplostraca, Daphniidae.